UACAGAGGGUGCAAGCGUUAAUCGGAAUUACUGGGCGUAAAGCGCACGUAGGCGGUUUUUUAAGUCAGAUGUGAAAGCCCCGGGCUCAACUUGGGAAUUGCAUUUGAAACUGGAAAACUAGAGUGUGUGAGAGGGGGGUAGAAUUCCAAGUGUAGCGGUGAAAUGCGUAGAGAUUUGGAGGAAUACCAGUGGCGAAGGCGGCCCCCUGGCACAACACUGACGCUCAGGUGCGAAAGCGUGGGGAGCAAACAGG
RNAcentral lists this ribosomal RNA (253 nucleotides) under uncultured bacterium. Its description in RNAcentral is "partial 16S ribosomal RNA". It matches the Rfam family "Bacterial small subunit ribosomal RNA", at positions 524 to 776 of the family's 1533-position model. The record is from RNAcentral.